This 301-nucleotide ribosomal RNA is filed under the name uncultured bacterium. RNAcentral describes it as "partial 16S ribosomal RNA". It matches the Rfam family "Bacterial small subunit ribosomal RNA", at positions 509 to 807 of the family's 1533-position model. The record is from RNAcentral.
CAGCAGCCGCGGGAAUACGGAGGGAGCUAGCGUUGUUCGGAAUUACUGGGCGUAAAGCGCACGUAGGCGGUUAUUCAAGUCAGAGGUGAAAGCCCGGGGCUCAACCCCGGAACUGCCUUUGAAACUAGAUGACUGGAACCUUGGAGAGGUCAGUGGAAUUCCGAGUGUAGAGGUGAAAUUCGUAGAUAUUCGGAAGAACACCAGUGGCGAAGGCGACUGACUGGACAAGUAUUGACGCUGAGGUGCGAAAGCGUGGGGAGCAAACAGGAUUAGAUACCCCUGUAGUCCCUGUCUCUUAUAC